Microcebus murinus (gray mouse lemur) is the source of this 2142-nucleotide non-coding RNA. NCBI's taxonomy places the organism in Eukaryota, Metazoa, Chordata, Mammalia, Primates, Cheirogaleidae. The record is from RefSeq and is a predicted model, not a curated record.
AAAGAAAGUCCUGGAAUCCAAAAGUUCCUGUCUGGAGCCCUUAUUGGACAGUGUGAACGAGGGCAGUCCAGCGUAUCGGGUUGGGGGUACUGCAGGGAUGGAGGUGGAAACAGUACCGGGUCUUUAGUACUGUAUUGUCUCUGGGAGACAGGAAUCGACCAGGGAAAACAAACUUGACCUAGAACAUUCCAGCCUUAGAUUUGGGGAAGAAGCAGGAGAGUCACACUCAUGAGGAACAUAUUCUAAAACUGCUGAGAUCGAAACCAUUUCUGAUUGCUUUACCAAGGAAGAUUAGGAUUAAGUUUUUGGUGUCAGAAGUAGGAUCUCAAGACAACCCCUGACAAGCCCUAAGCAUUGAAGUGGAAAAGUACCACUAACCCUUUUGAUCUCUUACCCUUCCUGCCUGAACUCUCACAACACUAGCUUCCCAUAAAAAUCAGACCCUCAAAUGAACCAGGAGAACCUGUAACGGCUGAAUUUAGACCUUGUUCUCAUGCAGAACCCUGAGCCGUUAUAUAAGGCUUUGUUGACCCUAAAAAGGACCAAACCAAGUUUAAAGAAAAAUUAAAAAUUCUUCUAGAGGUGUAUGACUCAGGGCUCCCUAUGUAAAUAUCAAUUUAUUCUUAUGAUAGUGGACACAGGGGAUGCUUGAAAAUGUCUAGAAAAAAGUUUGCUGAGAUAAUCUAACUGGAGAUCUUAAGCUCCUAUUGAGCAUGCCUCCAAAGAGGGAAUAUGAAGGCCAGAAAAACAGGCCAACAGUUAUUAUAAGAUAACCCUGAAAUAUUCCCCAUGAGAAUAGACUGAACUAUAAUACAAUCUUAUAAAUAAAAAAAGAAUGAAUCUUCUGCACACUACUGAAUCUACCUACAGGAAGUGUUCAAACAAUACUUUGGCUUUAAAAGCUAAAUGAUGAAUGGCUUUCUCAGCCCAUUUUGUUAAUGGACUGCACACAGAAAUAAGUGACUACUAAGGAAAUGUAAAUUAGAAUGAGAGAUCACUCCCCUAACAGAACUACAAUAUCUAGUAGAACAUUUUGAAAGGAGUAUAGACCAAAAAUGGAACCACUGGGUAAACAAAUUAACAUCCUUAAAAUUACAACAGUUGCAAACACCUCAACCUAACUUUCAGAAACCUACUCCCAAUUUUGUCCCUGUUGAUAGAGAUGCCUUUUGUUACUAUAAGCAGAGGGAGCACUGGGAAAAAAGGAUCCCUUUCUGAAUAAGAGAAAAUUAGAAUAAACCUCACAUCCUUUUGACAAUUCACAACAUUGGCAGGGCUCCGAGGAAUUGUGCAGUAGUGUACUCUCAUGAUUCCUUUAAAUUAACAAGGAAAAAGCAAGCUUAAAAUAAAUGGAGAAAUUUGUACUGUGUUGGCAGAUACUAGAGCAACUCUUUCUACUUUAAAGCCCACCAUGAUACUUUCUUGAAUGACUUCCUUGAGUAAUGAAAAUAUCUCAUUUAGAGAGUUUCCAAUCAAGUUCAAAGUGUCCCUUUAUCAGAGCCCAGAACUGUUAUCCUUAGUCCUUUUUCCAAAAAUUAUGCCUUCCUAUUAUUUGAUACUACCCCUAUAAAUCUAUCAGACAGAGAUCUGUUCUCCAAACUUGCGGGUGAAGUAAAUUUUUCCUCAGAAGAAAUAACUCCAAAUAUUCAUUAUUAUAAUAGUAAUGAUAAUUCCAGAUCCAUUCACACUGAAACAUUAUGUGUCCCCCAGGGACAAACUGAUUACCCUGAAGAAACCAAUAACCUCCAUGGAAUCUUACAUGCCAUAGAUCUGUCUGGAAUUCCUGAUACUUUAUGAGCAUCUUUUCUCACAGAUGUAGGAAAAAUUUUAAAUGUUGAGACCACUGAAAUACAAAUUGACCCUUUCAAGCCAUUUCCUAAAUUACAUCAGUGUCCUCUAAAACCUGAAGCAAUACUAUGACUCAUUCCAAUAAUAGAAGACCUAAUACACUGAAGAUUAAUUAUCCAUACAGUAGUCCUUGUAACACUUCUAUCUUACCUGUCAAAAAACCCCAUGAAGAGGGAUGGAAAUUUGUACAGGACCAUAGGGCUAUAAAUAAAGCUGUAAUAUCAAGAUUUCCAGUGUUACCAAAUCCAAACACUUUGCUAGCAAGUAUACUGACUGAAUCUAAGUGGUUCACAA